CAUCAUUUUAUUUAUAUUUAUACAACACAUUUGUGCAGAACUACUAUGGGAAGACACUGUGUUUGGCAAUAUGGAAAGGAGAAAGUGAUGAUAAAGAUGGAGAUUUCAUCUUAGAACUUAACUAAAAUGUUAGUAAUAAUCUGUUCUCUGGUUCAGCCUGUAAUAUAGAAGUGCCAAACCAUGGAACGGAUGAAAGACCAUGUGAUGUUAUGCCAGCCCAAGCACUGAAAAUUAAUUUAUCUGCAGAUAAUUACUUUGCCACCAAAGUCCAUUCAAAAAUCAGUCUGAGAUGAGGUAUGUGUUAUUUUUUUUAGUCAUAUUAUAUACAUAUCUGAUA
Molecule: long non-coding RNA, 337 nt
Filed under: Dasypus novemcinctus (nine-banded armadillo)
Lineage: Eukaryota; Metazoa; Chordata; Mammalia; Cingulata; Dasypodidae
Description: lncRNA (ENSDNOG00000050703.1)
Source: RNAcentral